RNAcentral lists this ribosomal RNA (440 nucleotides) under uncultured bacterium. RNAcentral describes it as "bacterial SSU rRNA". It matches the Rfam family "Bacterial small subunit ribosomal RNA", at positions 338 to 795 of the family's 1533-position model. The record is from RNAcentral.
CCUANGGGAGGCAGCAGUGGGGAAUAUUGGACAAUGGGCGAAAGCCUGAUCCAGCCAUGCCGCGUGAGUGAUGAAGGCUCUAGGGUUGUAAAGCUCUUUCGCCGGGGAAGAUAAUGACGGUACCCGGAGAAGAAGCCUCGGCUAACUCCGUGCCAGCAGCCGCGGUAAGACGGAGGAGGCUAGCGUUGUUCGGAAUUACUGGGCGUAAAGCGCAUGAAGGUGGUGAAGUAAGCCGGAUGUGAAAUCCCAGGGCUUAACCCUGGAAGUGCAUCCGGGACUGCUUUGCUCGAGUCCGGAAGAGGAGGGCGGAAUGCCCAGUGUAGAGGUGAAAUUCGUAGAUAUUGGGAAGAACACCAGUGGCGAAGGCGGCUCUCUGGUCCGGUACUGACACUUUAGUGCGAAAGCGUGGGGAGCAAACAGGAUUAGAUACCCUGNUANUC